This 18073-nucleotide long non-coding RNA is filed under the name Citrus x clementina. Its description in RNAcentral is "Citrus clementina (C. clementina) long non-coding RNA (CCLE_LNC005623)". The record is from RNAcentral. Lineage: Eukaryota; Viridiplantae; Streptophyta; Magnoliopsida; Sapindales; Rutaceae.
UUUGCAUGUGUAAAUGUUCAUUUUGUCAUUGGAAAGGCUCAAAAGUAUUGCUUCGAUUUUCUAAAUCUAGUUCUCAAUCGCUUAGUACUUCAGUUGCAACUUAAAUUUGGGCAUUUAAUUAUUCACCAAGUUUGUUUCCAUUUGUACUUCAAUGUGUGAGAACUUUCUCACAUAUAUUUGGUUGCAUCUAUGUCAUAAUUUUUAAUGCAUUUUGCAGACUGGGUAAUGAAGAACCUGUGGUGCAAUCAACAUCUGGUCUUUUUACAUGUGCUGUAUGCCAAAUCGACCUUGCUCCGAGUGAGGGAAUCUCUGUUCAUGCUGGUUCCAUCUUCUCCACUAGCUCAAAGCCCUGGCAAGGGCCUUUCCUCUGCGCUGAUUGCCGAAAUAAGAAGGAUGCCAUGGAAGGAAAACGCCCUAGUGGAGUUAAAGUAGCAUAACUCCUUUAUUGUAACCUCCUUAUUCUUUCCCACUUCAUUCUAUUUUUUUGUGCCCACUUUCGAUUAGGCUAGUGAAUUGUUUGAAUCUUACCAUAGUGCUACAUCAAUUGUAUAUGUAAUAUAUGCAAAUAAUGUAAAAUGAGUUUUAGCGCCUCAGGGAGAGCUGAUUGAUUAUUGGGUGUUCCUUUAGAAUUCCAAAACUUUUGGCGGUCUUGUUUUUUGCGUUAGUGCUAACCAAGCCACGAAGAUUACAAAUAAAGAUUACUAUGUGCCAAAGCAGUGGAACUCUAGUGAAAACUGCGUCAUUCUUUGUUGCCUGAUAUUUAUUGAAAUGGACGUCUCUAAUUCCAUAUUUAUCGAAAAUUGCACCAAUUUACAAAGUAGAAAGGGGGAGGAAAACAGUGCAUUCUGAUACCUAAUGGUAUUUUUACAAUGUUAUUAGUAUACUUUUUGAAGAGUCUGCUAUACUUUGUAUAGUUGAAGAGUCUGCUGGUGAGCCCGGCGAAGAUAAGAAGGGCUUGGGUGGGAUUUGCAAGGAAUCGAGGCUUGCUUCCAACAUUUCCACUACUCUAUUCAUUGUUGGCCGGCUUGAGGGGUUAGUCUGUAUGCACCACAAGCUUACAAUUAUCAUCUUCCUUGCAUAUUCUUUAUCUUGUUCAUUUUCAAUGCCUUGCAGUCCAAGUUCUUCAUCCUUUUCUAGACGCUUGUAAAUCCAAUGCGGAAAAUAUAUGUCACUGCUUCCAUUAUCCCCAACAUCAACGUUCUUUCUUCCUCCAGUCAUUUCGAAAAUCAUCAUUCCGUAGCUAUAAACAUCCGACUUGUAAGAGACUUCCCCAAUAUUUCUACAGAACACUUCUGGAGCAAUAUACCCAACAGUCCCCCGUGCACCUGUCAUUGAGAUGAUACUCUCUUUCCUGUUGCAGAUUUUAGCUAGGCCGAAAUCAGAGAUCUUAGGACAGAAGUCUUCAUCUAGGAGAAUGUUAUGAGGCUUGAUGUCAAAAUGCAGAAUUCGUGUACUGCAGCCAAGGUGCAAGUACUCUAAUCCUCGAGCUAUGCCUACUGCAAUUUGGAGCAACGUUUCCCAGGUCAAUUUAUGAUUUUCUAUCGAUGAGCUGUUUCUAUAAAUGAACUUCUCCAGAGAUCCAUUGGACACAAACUCGUAGAUGAGAGCUCUUCUGCGACCCUCAAAACAGAAUCCUAAAAGAGUGACGACGUUAACAUGGGAAGUCCUGCUAAUGCUAGCAACCUCAUUGAUGAAUUCUUCACCAUUUCCUUUUGAAUCAUUUAAGACUUUUACUGCCACAUUACUACCGUCAAUUAGUUUUCCUUUGUAAACACUUCCAUAGCCUCCUUGGCCGAGUUUAUAUUUGAAAGAAUUGGUCAUUUUCUUAAUAUCUGCAUGGCUAUAUCUUCUAGGAGCUAGAGAUCCAUGAUUCCUUAAAAAUGUCUCAAUGUUCAGACAACUUCCAGUGGAAUCGUAUGAUGAAAAUUUUCUAUAGAACAUGAUCCAGAAGGACAAAAGUGCAAUCAGGACAAUUGAUCCGCCACCUAAUGUGCAAAAUGAAAAGCUUUAAUUUUUUUCACCAACAUGGUGCUGUGCUGGAAAACACAAAUUACAAAUGAAAUUUCUUUUCAAUUCCCAUUGAAGGCUGCAGAGAAAUUUAUGCAGCAGAGAUUAGAGAGGUAUAUUACCUAGUCCCAGGCCUAGCUUUAAUUCCGAUUUUUCAUGUCCUGCAACACAAAUACAAAGAAAAUGGUGUUAGUUUAGACAAUAAAUAAAGCAGUUAUAGUUUAGGCAAUAAAUACAGCAGUUAUGUAAUUAGAGCAUCCAAAUUCUUGACAGCAUCGCACAGAAACAGAGAGGCUGCACAUCUCAAACUUAUAUUUUUGUCUUCCUGAGAUGAAUUAGCGGCUUCUUCCAAUCCCGGGUAAGGAGUCAGUUUUUUUUUUUUUUUGAGAAGUCAGUUGAAAUAACCAAAUAAAGAAAUCAGUGUAUAAAGAGAGGAAUUCGUUUGUGGCAUGUUAUCGAAAUAGACCUAGCUUUUACAACUGUUUAAUAAUGUGAGUAGUACAGAGCAGAAAGACUAUGAACGAACGUGUAUAUGUUCAUGAAGAUGAACUAGUCCUAAUACCUUAUGUAACUUUUGAUACCUGUCCGUUCGUUUUCACAUUGAAAAUUUUCCUUGUCAUCAAAAUGACAGUGGCCUCGUUUCUUAAGACAAUCAUUACAUUCUCUUGAUUCAGCACAUUGAAACUUUCCCUCGCUAUCACUUCGACACUGGCCCCCUCUCCAGCCACAUUCCCAACAAAACCAGGGUAUUUCCACUUGAAGAGAGAAAACUGAAGUUAACAUAUUGAACAAGUCAUCAGAUUUUCUAGUCUUAUUCACUGGGAGCUGAAUCAGUGAACAGUUAGGUGGAACAAUACGUGGUAAAGCAUCAUCCGGGUGAUUGUAAUAAAUAAAGGAGUUAUGGUUGCAGGUAAAAUGGAAACUCGGGAGGUUUUUCUCAAGCUUGUGGGUGCAUCUGAAGAGGCUCAGAUUUGAUUUGAUAUGAAAAGAGAGAGAAGCAGAGGUGGGGAGAGUCAAAUUUUCGAAGGAUUCACAGCUAGAGUUGCCCAAGUGAUUUUGAAACACUUGGUCUUCAAGAGUGAUUGAAGCAUCCUGGGCUAUGUUUAAAAUAUUAUAAAACGGCCCGGCCUUCCCCAAUCGAAUUCUCUGAACUGGUUUGUUGCAGUUAUCUACUAACAUCAACCCACAUUCAGGAUGCGUCCUAUUGGUGAAAGGAAAGAAAAAUUGACCGAGAUUUCCACAUGAGGGAAAAAAAGAUGGACAUGUUUUAUUCAGUUCACUUUCUUCUUCAGCCGAAGAAAGAAGUAAAAGUUGAGAGAUAACAAAGAACACAAGAAACGAGUAACAAGCCAUUAAUAUUCCGAAUUCCCAAUAUGGCUGGAGAAAUCAACUAAUAAACUGCUAAGAAUAUUCUUAAUCAACUAAUAAACUACUAAGAAUAAUCUUUGUAAUUCUUCAAAUUAUCUUGCAAUUUCUGCUAUUUUUCCUUGUCCACAUGUUUUGUUGCUAAAUCCAUAGAACACGCCAGUUGACUUGGAAAGACUUGUAGAUGUAGUGAUACUGAAACAAGUUCGAGCUGCGCAUGACUGCAUUCUACUGGACACUUUGCAGCUGUAGGACGUGAAAUACUUAUUCAAAAUGAUGGAUAAGUGUUUAACUCGUCCAGGAGAAGGGCCCCUUGAAGUAAGAAUGUUUUUUUUUUUUCCUUAAAAAUAAAUGCAGCUGUGAAUUACCUAAUAUUCUCCGUUUUUACGUCUCUGUGAUAUAGGCUGCAUAAAAUACGAAGGGAAAGUUUCAUGCUCUUAUAUAAAAAAUAAUGGAUAGGGCCGUAUCUCUAAAUAUAAUUGUUCAAGAUCUAAGUAUUCUCUAUACACUACAGUUGACGUAAGGUUUCUUUUACCCUAUUCUACUUAUAGCUUCUUUGUGAGGGAUAACAAAAUUGAGUGCGAGCGAAUUGGUUAGAGUAGGGACCCUUUUUAUAAUUAGCCUUAAAAUACAAUUUAAGACUCUUGAACUCCUACUAUUAAACAAGUGAGAUUAACAUAACUCUUUCACUUCCUUUUGUCAAAGACGUGAAUAAGUUAUAUACUUUAAUUUAUGGCUUAAUUAAAUAUCAUCUCUUAAUUGGAUAAUAAUUAUAAAUUGAUUUACUUUAGUUAAUUAAUUACUCAAUGUCACGUGUACCAUAUAUUGUCAAUUCUUAUAAUACUCACUACCUUAGAUUAUGAAAAACAGAGAAAUUAUUUGUUAAUUUUUCAAAGCAAUUAUAUAUCUAUUGUUGUUUUCCCCCCCACUUUUUUCGUGGUUACAACAGAGAGAUCUAUUUAUCUACCACAAACGAUAAAUCUAGAAUGCUUUCAAAGUUAUUAUUGCAUGUUUACUAAUUUAGUGUGGAACAGAAGUGUUCAGGAUGCUACCUAUCUUGAAUCCCAAGUUAAUUCAAUUCUUGGUCUCUUUGUUGAAAAAGUAGUGCAUGAAUGAAUAAUAAAGUGGAUAUUACAUGCAUUAAUGGUUAAUUAGAAGAAUCGCCAUUUUAUGCUAGAAAUUCAACUGAUGUAGGUAACUUUCGGAGAUAUGUUUUCAUACCGAAUAAAUGCAACACGAAAAUCAUUGUUUUAAUAUGUUUGCAUGGUCUAAAUUCUCAAGUAGAUAUGGAGGCUGCAAAUGAAGGAUUUGGUCCAUUUUCUUUGACAUGUCAUCAAACCACUUUUUGGCUACAAAUAGAACCCUCGUUUGACAUAGCAAAUCAUCCCGAAGCAGCACGAGUGAGAGCACAAAGAGUUCAAGUCACAAAAAUAUUUGAUGUCUAUUGAUUAUGUAUUGAUAACUUCAUGAAAUGAGAAUUAUCAUGACAUUUCUAAACUUAAACUAGCAUUACUUAGAGAGUAAAUUAUAUGUUUUUAUUACAUCUUUAGUUACAUUUUGCAUGAGCAUCUAUAUAAGUUUAAUUUUAAUAAAUUGAUUAUAUUUUAUAUCAUUUUGUGUUAUGAUUAUGUGCAUGAUUGUAGGUGACCAAAAAACUCAAACUUUAUGGAUGGAUUGUUGCAGUAGUAGACUUGCAGAAAUGACAAAAAACUUAUCUGCAGAUGAACUAAAACAAAUUUGAAUAAGAGAAGAUGUUGUAGCAAUUGCUGCAGCAAUCCAAGAGCAAAUACUGGCAAGACUACCCGCAUAUUAAUUGACAAAGCAGUGACAGGCGGCACAAAAAGAUAUGCGAUCCAAGUUUUCAAAAAAAGAGACACGUGGCCACAUGCUUUUGAUUGCCCUAAUUCUAAGAUAUAAAAAGAGCACACGUGAAAGAAACAAGAGGGAGGGGGCCGACACAUAGAAGCAACGAAGAGAAAAAGAAAAAUAAGAGAAUAAGAGAGAGUUGGGGGUUGCAACAAGGGAUUUCAAAGAAAAAGUUGGAGACAUCGCAAAACCUAGGAGCGGGACAUCUUGAAUUUAGUGAAUCUCAAUUCCUCAUCUUUAUUUGCAUGUUUUCAUCUCUUUAUUGGAAUAUAUUUGACGGCAAAAACGUGUGUUGCUACCAUUUUAUCACCUAUCAUGAACUAAACUUUGAUGUAGUUAGGUGUUAAACAAGCUUAAUGGUUAUGACAUGACUGUUUCUAUGAAUGAAUUUUGUAUAGAUCGUAAAGAAAUGAUAAGUAAAUCUUGAGAAGUUGUGAGAACCUUACCGUAACUUGCUGUAGCUACUAUUCCAUUUGAACAGUGAAGAUACCCCUUGCUGUUAAUUAGGCAUUGGCCUCCUCCUCUCGAAGGACAGUCAAUACAUUGUCGUCUUGCACGCCAGUUAGGGAGUACUUUUAGAGAGAAAUUGCCAGUUAACAGACGAAACAAGUCAGACGCGUAGCGAGUCUUACUCGCUGCCACUGGGAGCUGAAUAAGUGAACACUGAGGUGGAAGACUUGGUAGAUCAUCGUCAUCUGGGUGAUUGUAAAAGAUCGUGGAGUCAUCACAGGACAUAUUGAAAUUCAUGGGAAUGUUGCCAAGAAUUGUGGGGCAUUUGAACAGGGUUAAAUUUGAUAGGAUUUCAAAAGAGAUGGAAGGAGACCUGGGAAGAGAAAUAUUUUUGAAGGAUUCACAGCUGCGGUUGUCCAAGUGCCUUUGAAACACUUGAUCAUAAAGUGUAACAGUUUGAUCCGCAGAGAUGCUUGUGACAGAUAACCAUGGCUCAUUCUUUCCCAGUUGAAUCUUUUGAACUGGCUUGUCGCAGUCAUCCACUAAGCAGAAUCCACACUCAGGGUGUGUUCGUAUAGAGUAGGGGAAGUUGAUAUUGCGGAAUUUUCCACAAGAAAAAGAUGGACAACUUAGAUUGAAUCUCAUUUGUUCUUGAGCUAAGGAAAGAAGCAAAAGAUACGAGAGAAUGAAGAACAUAAGAUAAGAGACGUGAGCCAUUAGAAGAAUCCCUGAAUGGCAAGAGAGAUCAACUAAGAAUAAUCUCUGUCCGCAUUGCAUCUUUUAUCCCAGUCAUCUUUGCUAUUUCUUUCAGUUGUUUAACGUCUUGAACAAGUCAGUUGACUUGGAAAAAUGAAUUUGAAGGACGUAAAUGGUUGACCCGUGAUUAAAUGAAAAAUUUCCAAACUCCCUUUCCACAACUAGGACUAAGAAAGCUUGACGCUGUAAUUCUCCUCUUGAAGUAAGAAUAGUAAUAAUAACGAAAAUGCUAAUAAAAAGGGGCCUUCAAGGCUUCAAACGUUGUUCACGUUUUUGGAGAAAUCUUAACAUUUGAUAAAGCUCUUUACUUGAUGUUGCUAUGCUUGAAAUUUACAUAGACCUAAAUCUUGUAAGACAUGUCAUAUGGGCUCUCAUCUCUUAGUUGUAUAAAUAGCUGAGAUUUAAUUAUAGAAGAUGACUUGGCUUUUGAUUAAUUUUAAUAUGACUUUUGCACUCUCCAUAUCUCUCCUUAUCUUUCUCACGUCACUUUCCACAAAUAAAUCAAGGUUUUAUUAGGCAUUUUUUAGCUAUAGUGCUAACUAUACCACCAAGAUUACUAACGAAAGUUUACUGUCCCAAAGAAGUGCAACUCACGCCUUCAAUGAGUGAAAAAUUGAAAAUUGUAUCAGUGUUAUACGCUGAUAUUUAUCGAAAUGGACGUAUUAAUUCCUAAGCAGGAAAAUGUGCCUUUUCAUAGCUAAUGGGAUUACAAAGUUAGUAUACCGUGGAUGGUUGAAGAAUCUGCUGGUGAUCCUGGGGAAGACAAGAAAGGCUUGGGAGGAAUUUGCAAGGAACCAAGGGUUCCUUUCAACAUUUCCACCAAUCUACUCAUUGUUGGCCGGCUUGAGGGGUUAGUCUGUAUGCACCACAAGCUUACAAUUAUCAUCUUCCUUGCAUAUUCUAUACCUUCUUCAUUUUCACUGCCGUGCAAUCCAAGCGCUUCAUCCUUUUCAAGACGUUUGUAAAUCCAAUGCAGAAAAUAUACGUCACUGCUUCCAUUAUCCCGAGCAUCAAAGUUCUUUCUUGCUCCAUUCAUUUCGAAAAUCAUCAUUCCGUAGCUAUAAACAUGUGACUUGUAAGAGGCUUCUCCAAUAUUUCUACAGACACUUCUGGAGCAAUAUACCCAACAUUCCCCCGUGCACCUGUCAUUGAGAUGAUACUUUCUUUCCUGUUGCAGAUUUUAUAUAGGCCGUGUUAUAACUCAUAACAGCUACACAAGAAAUUUCAAGAAGCACUUUGAUAAUUGGACUUGAAAGAACUGAUCAGAGUAAACCAAUCAAGAAAGAAAUCACAAGAAACAGAUUCAGAGCACAGUUUCAAGUACACAAAUUGAUGAAGGAAAAAACUGCUCUUUUAUUGAUCUCAACAAUCUAAUUACAAGCUAAUCACAAAGAAGAAAUUACAAGGACCACAAUGAACCAAAUUGCAAGCAAAAUGAACAAGAAAUGAAGAAGAUAUCGAUAUGAUAUCAGAGGCUAGUCACAAGUGCCUUUUAUUCUGAUAUUUCUGGAAAAAGUCAUAACGAACUCCCAACGAAUUCUGCCACAUCAGCAUAAGUUUUUCAACUAGACCCCUCCAACUGAAGUCGAUCUUCACACUGCUCCAACAAUUCUUCAAAUCUUUCAUUUAAACCCAACGAACCUGCAACUUAUUUCCUCACAGGCCGAAAUCAGAGAUCUUGGGACAGAAGUCUUCAUCUAGGAGAAUGUUAUGAGGCUUGAUGUCAAAAUGCAGAAUUCAUGUACUGCAUCCAAGGUGCAAGUGCUCUAAUUCUCGAGCUACGCCUACUACAAUUUGUAGCAAUGUUUCUCGUGUCAAUUCAUGAUUUUCCGUCGAUAAGCUGUUUCUAUAAAUGAACUUCUCAAGAGGAUCCAUUGGACACAAACUCGUAGAUCAGAGCUCUUCUGCGACCCUCGAAACAGAAUCCUAAAAGAGUGACAAUGUUAACAUGGGAAGUCCUGCUAAUGCUAGCAACCUCGUUGAUGAAUUCUUCACCAUUGCCUUUUGAAUUAUUUAAGAGCUUUACUGCCACAUUAUGACCGUCAAAGUAGUUUUCCUUUGUAAACACCUCCAUAGCCUCCUUGGCCAAGUUGAUGUUUGAAAUAAUUGGUCAUUUUCUUAAUAUCUACAUAACAAUAUCUUUUAGGAGCCUGAGAUUCAUAAUUCCAUAAAAAUGCCUCAAUGUUCAGACAACUUUCAGUGGAAUUGUAUGAUGAAAGUUUUCACCUGAAGUAAAAGGCUAUAAAUAUCAAUAUGCCAACUGCAAUGGCUGAUGCUCCUGCAACCAGAGAAAGGAGUCACUGUCAACUUAAAAUUUCUUUCUCUACUUAAAGACAGAUGGAUGCUUCCCUCAAAACCAUGAGUAGAAGCCAAAAAAUACUUCAGAAAAUUUUGGAUGGUCCAAACAUUGUGCUAGCAGAUGUAUUUGAUUAAAAAGAUACAUUACUGUUUUCUGAGUUUUCUGUUUCCUGCAACAGAAUUAAACAAAGACUGGUGUUAGUUGAGAAUACGAAAAAAUGUCAUGAUGUUCUCAAAUCAUCCAAAUUUUGACAAAAUUGGACAGGCAACUGACAGAAUAGCCAAUCUCAACCAGAUACAGAACUUGCUGCAACAAAUCUGCUGCUUUCUCCAAAUACAGGUAAAGGGACAGCCGAAAUCCAACAAAUAAAUAAAAAGAGACUGAAAAAUAGGAACUCGUUUUGUUGCAUGUUAUUAGAUUAGACAUAGCUUAUGUAAAUGUACAAAAAGAAAAAAAAUAAAAAUUACUAACUCGGAGCAGAUAGUGUUUUGUUCUUAGAAUAACAAAGAACACAAGAAACGAGUAAGAAGCCAUUAAUAUUCCGAAUUCCCAAUAUGGCUGGAGAAAUCAACUAAUAAACUACUAAGAAUAUUCUUAAUCAACUAAUAAACUACUCAGAAUAAUCUUUGUAAUUCUGAAUAAUCUUUGGAAUGGCUUCAGGCUCUACCUCGAGCCUUAGUUGCUGGAUUUGUGAAGACUGACAAGGAAUUUCAGAGUAGAGGCAUGGAACUGUUCCUUGUUCUUAUUUUCAUUCUUGCACUUCUUUUUUAUUUCCCAUCUUUGACUUUUUGUUGUAAAUCAAGCAAAAGUAAUUUUGCUAUACUUGUUCAAUCAUCUUCAGGAGAAAUAUCUGGGACCACAGCUACAUUUGUUAUAGUUGACAGAUGGACUGCGACUGUUGCAUCUGUUGGAGAUUCUCGUUGUAUAUUGGAUGCUCAGGGUGGGGCUGUUUCCACCUUGACUGUAGAUCAUAGGCUUGAAGAGAAUGUGGAAGAGUGCGUUUCUAUAUCAAAGCUCUAUUUCUUCCCUUAUUCUGGAUAGACUUUUUAGUUGGUUAUGCUGCAACUGCAGGAGGGAACGCGUUACUGCAAGGAGGGGUGAAGUUGGGAGGCUUAGCAUUGUUGGAGGUGCUGAGGUAAGGUGUUUUAACAUAUUGGUCUCAAGUCUUAUUCAUUGGUCUUAAAGUAAAGGGCAGAAUUUCUACAAAAUAGAAAAAAUCUAUCCUGCAGUUUGUAACAAAAUUUGCAUAAACUUGACAGAUUGGUCCCCUCCGUUGCUGGCCUGGUGGUUUAUGCAUUUCUAGGUCAAUUGGAGACAUGGAUGUCGGGGAAUUUAUAGUACCAAUACCAUACGUCAAACAAGUAAAGGUAUCCGCCCUCCGCCCCUUUUUUGGGGGGGUUUCUAGAUCAUGUUUUUCACUUGUGAUUCUUUUCCAUCUUCGACUGUGUUACCCGUGAUUUUGAGAUGGGAUUGCUUGGUCUAUCUUCAGCAUGAACUCUUACUUUCUUCAUUGUUUUAAAAGCUAUCAAAUGCAGGUGGAAGGCUUAUUAUUGCUUCUGAUGGAAUCUGGGAUGCCCUAUCCUCAGAAAUGGCUGCACAAUGUUGCCGUGGAUUGCCGGCUGAACUCGCUGCCAGACAAGUGGUGAGGUAAUUUAAUUUGUUGUUUUACUACGUAUUUGUUGCCAGUUCUUUUUAGAAGAACCUGCUAACAUAGCUUUUGAGUAGUUUAUUGUUGUUCAGAUGAUUGCUUAGAAUGUUUUCUCACUGUAUUUGAUGGAUCACUAUUUAGGAAGCAUUAAGGACAAGGGGACUGAAGGAUGAUACAACUUGCAUAGUUGUUGACAUAAUUCCUCCUGACAAUACGAUGCAGCCUCAGCCUCCUCCCCAAAAGCAGAAUAAGCUGAGAGCGCUGCUAUUUAGGAAGAAGUCCCUUGAUUCAGCAAAUAAACUAUCAAAGAAGCUUUCAGCUGUAGGAAUAGUUUAAGAACUGUUCGAAGAAGGCUCGGCAAUGCUUGCCGAAAGGUUAAUGCUGUCUCCUUUGCAUGUGUAAAUGUUCGAUUUGUCAUUGGAAAGGCUCAAAAGUAUUGCUCUGAUUUUCUAAAUCUAGUUCUCAAUCGCUUAAAUGUUCACUUUGUCAUAAUUUUUAAUGCAUUUUGCAGACUGGGUAAUGAAGAACCUGUGUUGCAAUCAACAUCUGGUCUUUUUACAUGUGCUGUAUGCCAAAUCGACCUUGCUCCGAGUGAGGGAAUCUCUGUUCAUGCUGGUUCCAUCUUCUCCACUAGCUCAAAGCCCUGGCAAGGGCCUUUCCUCUGCGCUGAUUGCCGAAAUAAGAAGGAUGCCAUGGAAGGAAAACGCCCUAGUGGAGUGAAAGUAGCAUAACUCCCUUAUUGUAACCUCCUUAUUCUUUCCCACUUCAUUCUAUUAUUUUGUGCCCACUUUCCAUUAGGCUAGUGAAUUGUUUGAAUCUUACCAUAGUGCUACAUCAAUUGUAUAUGUAAUAUAUGCAAAUAAUGUAAAAUGAGUUUUAGCGCCUCAGGGAGAGCUGAUUGAUUAUUGGGUGUUCCUUUGGAAUUCCAAAACUUUUGGCGGUCUUGUUUUUUGCGUUAGUGCUAACUAAACCACGAAUUUUACAAAUAAAGAUUACUAUGUGCCAAAGCAGUGGAACUCUAGUGAAAACUGCGUCAUUCUUUGUUGCCUGAUAUUUAUUGAAAUGGACGUCUCUUAUUCCAUAUUUAUCGAAAAUUGCACCAAUUUACAAAGUAGAAAGAGGGAGGAAAACAGUGCAUUCUGAUACCUAAUGGUAUUUUUACAAUGUUAUUAGUAUACUUUGUAUAGUUGAAGAGUCUGCUCGUGAGCACGGCGAGGAUAAGAAAGGCUUGGGUGGGAUUUGCAAGGAAUCGAGGCUUCCUUCCAACAUUUCCACUACUCUACUCAUUGUUGGCCGGCUUGAGGGGUUAGUCUGUAUGCACCACAAGCUUACAAUUAUCAUCUUCCUUGCAUAUUCUAUAUCUUCUUCAUUUUCAAUGCCUUGCAGUCCAAGUUCUUCAUCCUUUUCUAGACGCUUGUAAAUCCAAUGCGGAAAAUAUACGUCACUGCCUCCAUUAUCCCCAACAUCAGCGUUCUUUCUUCCUCCAGUCAUUUCGAAAAUCAUCAUUCCGUAGCUAUAAACAUCCGACUUGUAAGAGACUUCUCCAAUAUUUCUACAGAAUACUUCUGGAGCAAUAUACCCAACAGUCCCCCGUGCACAUGUCAUUGAGAUGAUACUCUCUUUCCUGUUGCAGAUUUUAGCUAGGCCGAAAUCAGAGAUCUUGGGACAGAAGUCUUCAUCUAGGAGAAUGUUAUGAGGCUUGAUGUCAAAAUGCAGAAUUCGUGUACUGCAGCCAAGGUGCAAGUACUCUAAUCCUCGAGCUAUGCCUACUGCAAUUUGGAACAAUGUUUCCCAGGUCAAUUUAUGAUUUUCUAUCGAUGAGCUGUUUCUAUAAAUGAACUUCUCAAGAGAUCCAUUGGACACAAACUCGUAGAUGAGAGCUCUUCUGCGACCCUCAAAACAGAAUCCUAAAAGAGCGACAACGUUAACAUGGGAAGUCCUGCUAAUGCUAGCAACCUCAUUGAUGAAUUCUUCACCAUUUCCUUUUGAAUCAUUUAAGACUUUUACUGCCACAUUACGACCGUCAGGUAGUUAUCCUUUGUAAACACUUCCAUAGCCUCCUUGGCCGAGUUUAUAUUUGAAAGAAUUGGUCAUUUUCUUAAUAUCUGCAUAGCUAUAUCUUUUAGGAGCUAGAGAUCCAUAAUUCCUUAAAAAUGUCUCAAUGUUCAGACAACUUGCAGUGGAACUGUAUGAUGAAAGUUUUCUCCUGAAGUAAAAGGCUAUAAAUAUCAAUAUGCCAAUUGCAAUGGCUGAUGCUCCUGCAACCAGAGAAAGGAGUCGCUGUCAACCUAAAAUUUCUUUCUCUAAUUAAAGACAGAUGGAUGCUUCCUUCAAAACUAUGAGUAGAAGCCAAGAAAUAGUUCAGCAAAUUUUGGAUAGUCCAAAAAUUGUGCUAGCAGAUGCUCCUUGAUUCUAUUGAGGAUUGCAAAAAAACACGAGUGGCAGAGAAGAAAUUUGAAGCGAUUAUAAGGUAUCCGAAUUUAUUUGAAUGUAGAACAAUAGGAAAAAUGUAAUAAACGACCGACCUAAGCCGGGCACUUGCCUUAGUCAAGUAGCAAUACACCAUUAAUGUAUUUGAUUAAAAAGAUACAUUACCUAGUCCUGGCAGAAGCUUCAAUCUGAGUUUUCUGUUUCCUGCAACAGAAUUAAACAAAGACUGGUGUUAGUUGAGACUGUUAAAAAAUGUAAUGAUGUUCUCCAAUCAUCCAAAUUUUGACAAAAUUGGACAGGCAACUGACAGAAUAGCCUAUCUCAACCAGAUACAGAACUUGCUGCAACAAGUCUGCUGCUUUCUCCAAAUACAGGUAAAGGGACAGCCAAAAUCCACCAAAUAAAGAAAUCAGUGUAAAAAGAGAGGAAUUCGUUUGUGGCAUGUUAUCGAAAUAGACAUAGCUUUUAUAACUGUAUAAUAAUGUGAGUAGUACAGAGCAGAAAGACUAUGAACGAACGUGUUUAUGUUCAUGAAGAUGAACUAGUCCUAAUACCUUAUGUAAUUUUGUUACCUGUCCGUUCGUUUGCACAUUGAAAAUUUCCCUCGCUAUCACUUUGACACUGGCCCCCUCUCCAGCGACAUUCAGUACAAACCCGGUGUACUUCCACUCGAAGAGAGAAAACUGAAGUUAACAUAUUGAACAAGUCAUCAAGUUUUCGAUUCUUAUUCACUGGGAGCUGAAUCAGUGAACAGUUAGGUGGAAGAAUACUUGGUAAAGCCUCAUCCGGGUGAUUGUAAUAAAUAAAGGAACUAUGAUUGCAGGUAGAAUGGAAACUUGUGAGCUUUUUCUCAAGCUUGUCGGUGCAUCGGAAGAGGCUCAGAUUUGAUUUGAUAUGAAAAGAGAGAGAAGUAGAGGUGGGGAGAGUCAAAUUUUCGAAGGAUUCACAGCUAGAGUUGCCCAAGUGAUUUUGAAACACUUGGUCUUCAAGAGUGAUCGAAGCAUCCUGAGCUAUGUUUAAAAUAUUAUAAAACGGCCCGGCCUUCCCCAGUCGAUUUCUCUGAACUGGUUUGUUGCAGUUAUCUACUACCAUCAACCCACAUUCAGGAUGCUUCGGAUUGGUGAAAGGAAAGGCAAAUUGACCGAGAUUUCCACACGAGGGAAAAAAAGAUGGACAUGUUUUAUUCAGUUCACUUUCUUCUUCAGCCGAAGAAAGAAGUAAAAGACGGGAGAUAACAAAGAACACAAGAAACGAGUAACAAGCCAUUAAUAUUCCGAAUUCCCAAUACGGCUGGAGAAAUCAACUAAUAAACUACCAAGAAUAUUCUUAAUCAACUAAUAAACUACUAAGAAUAAUCUUUGUAAUACGUCAAAUUAUCUUGCAAUUUCUGCUAUUUUUCCUUGUCCACAUGUUUGGUUGCUAAAUCCAUAGAACACGCCGGUUGACUUGGAAAGACUUGUAGAUGUAGUGAUACUGAAAGAAGUUCGAGCUGCGCAUGACUGCUUUCUGCCGGACCCUUUGUCGCUGUAGGACGCUAAACAAUUGACCCGUUCAAAAUGAUGGAUGAGUGUUUAACUCGUCCAGGAGAAGGGCCCCAUUCGCUUCGUAUUUUAUGCAGCCUAUAUCACAGAGACGUAAAAACGAAGAAUAUUAGGUAAUUUGCAGCUUCAUUUUUUUUUAAGGGAAAAAAAUCAUUCUUAAUAGAAAGAAAAAAAUUAUAUAAUAAAUUAUGGAUAGGGCCGUGUCUCUAAAAAUAGUUGUUCAAGAUCUAAGUAUCUAUUCACUCUAGUUGAUACACUCUAGUUGAUGUAAGAUUUCUUCUACUUUAUUCUACUUAUAACUUUUUUGUGAUGGAUAACAAAACUGAGUGCAAGCAAAGUAGUUAGAAUAGGGACCCUUUUAUAAUUAGCUUUAAGAUACAAUUUAAAAUUCUUGAACUCCUACUAUUAAACAAGUGAGUUUAACAUAACUCUUUCAGAGGUUGUACUUCUAACUUAUGGGAUGGUUGAAAUGCAUUUCAUUUUAUACUUUAUGGUUUCUUGAAUGUAACAUUAUUUUUCUAGGUCGCAGAGUGUUAGGCUACAUCCUUCACUUGAUCUUCUUCGGCUAUAUUUUAUUGUUUUGUAAAAUUUACCCUUCUUCUUUUGUUGCUAAUUUCAGGUAUUUGACGGGCACAAUGGGAAUGCUGCAGCAAUUUAUACAAAGGAGAAUUUGUUGAAUCAUGUGUUGCGUGCUAUUCCCCGUGGGCUUGGGCGGGAUGAAUGGCUUCAGGCUUUACCUCGAGCCUUAGUUGCUGGGUUUGUGAAGGCUGACUAGGAAUUUUAUGGUGAUAGUGAUAUGAGAGAUUGGGUGUAUUAGGGUUUUGGGUAGUAAGUCAAAAUAUUACAAUACUUAUAAUCCUCAUUUCAUCAGUAAAAUAUUUUUCUUCUGUCUUUGCCUAUGGACGUAGGUUAAAAGCCGAACCAUGUAAUUUUCUAGUGUCCUCUUUUGUGUUUGUUCUUUAUUUUCUUUUAAUUUCAUUUUAGUUGUGAUCCUACUUCAUCCAUCAAUUUUCCAACAAUGGUAUCAAAUCUAUUGGUUGUAUUUUUUGGAGUCGGGAUACUGUUCACGUAAAGGGUAUUGUUUGCGUAUAUGGCAUGGUUAACGUAUAUGGUACUAUUCAUGUAUACUAUAUUGUUCACGUAUACAUAACUGUUCAUAUAUACGGUAAUGUUCACGAGAAAACGGUGGGAGCGAUCCAAGAGUUUUGUGGUUCAAAACAGAGAAUAGUGGUGUGAGUGGAGUAACUAUGUGGUUUUGUACAUGUUUAGGAAAUUUCUGUCACUAAGGCGAUAAGAGCCUAAGGAGUCUAGGUUUUAAGUGGGACUGUUGUGACCCUCCAGUCUUUCAUGGGAACUUUCCUAGUGUGCAUUCUCACACAUACUCACAACUAUUCAAAGUGGUACACUAGCUUGUGUGCGGUAUUUAUCAACAAAAUAACGACAAAGUAUGAAAUUGAAAAGUUCAACAUCAAUAAUUUCUCGUUGUGGAAAAUGAAGAUGCGGGCAAUUUUGAGGAAAAAUAAUUGUUUAGCAGCAAAUGUUGAAGGGUUUGGCACCGCCAAAGAAAAAAAAGAGAAGAAGAAACAAAAGAAAAAGAGACGGGCCGCGUGAAGGAAAACAAUAAAAUAAAAAUAAAGCAUGAACAGUAGCCAAGUUUUGGCUAUAAAAGGAGGAUCCUCCUCCUCAUUUCCGCAUCCCAAUUUUGAGAAGCAUUUCCUGUAUUUAAAGAGAGAGUUUAGAGAGCUUAAAAUUAAAAGCUCUGGUGAUAGUGAUUUGAGAGAUUGGAUGUAUUGAGGUUUUAGGUAGUGAGUCAAAAUAUUACAAUAUUUGUAAUUCUCAUUUCAUUAGUAAAAUAUUUUCUUUCUGUCUUUAUCCGUAGACGUAAGUUAAAAGCUGAACUACGUAAUUUUCUCGUAUCCUUUUUUGUGCUUGUUCUUUAUUUUAUUCCAAUUUCAUUUUCGCUGUCACCCUGUUUCAUCCAGCAAUUUCCUAACAAAUUUCAUAGUAGAGGCAUGGAACUGUCUCUUGUUCUUACUUUCAUUCUUUCCUUCUUUUUUAUUCCCCAUCUUUGACUUUUUGUUGUAAAUCAAGCAAAGUAAUGUUGCUAUAAUUGUUCAAUCAUCUUCAGGAGAAACGCCUGCGACCACAGCUACAAUUGUUAUAGUUGACAGAUGGACUGUGACUGUUGCAUCCGUUGGAGAUUCUCGUUGUAUAUUGGAUGCUCAGGGUGGGGCUGCUUCCACAUUGACCGUUGAUCUUAGGCUUGAAGAGAAUGUGGAAGAGUGCGUUUCUAUAUGAAAGCUUUGUCUCUUCCCUUAUUCUGGAUAGACUUAUUAAUUGGUUAUGCUGCAACUGCAGGAGGGAACGUGUAGUAACUGCAAGUGGAUGUGAAGUUGGGAGGCUUAGCAUCGUUGGAGGUGCUGAGGUGAGGUGUUUAAACGUAUUGGUCAGGGUCUUGAAGUCUUAUUCAUUGGCCUUAAACUAAAGUGCAGAAUUUCUACAAAUAGAAAAAUCUAUCCUACAGUUUGUAACAAAAUUUGCAUAACCUUGACAGAUUGGUCCCCUCCGUUGCUGGCCUGGUGCUUUAUGCCUUUCUAGGUCAAUUGGAGACAUGGAUGUUGGAGAAUUUAUGGUACCAAUAUCACAUGUCAAACAAGUGAGGUAUCCGGCCCCCCUCUCUCUUUUUUUUUUUUUUUUUUUGGUUUCUAGAUCUUGUUUUUCACUUGCGAUUCCUCUCCAUAUUGUACUGUGUUGCCUGUCAUUUUGAGAUGGAAAUUUCGAGGUCUGUCUUCAGCAUGACCUCUUAUCGUCUUCAUUGUUUUAAAAGUUAUCAAAUGCAGUUGGAAGGCUUAUUAUUGCUUCUGAUGGAAUCUGGGAUACCCUAUCCUCAGAAAUGGCUGCAAAAAUGUUGCCGUGGAUUGCCAGCUGAACUCUCUGCCAGACAAGUGGUGAAGGUAAUUUGAUUUGUUGUUUUACUACGAAUUUGGUGACAUUCUUUUUUGAAGAACAUGCUAAUAUAACUUUUGAUUGUCGUUCAGAUGAUUGCUUAGAACGUUUUCUCACUGCAUUUGAUGGGUCACCAUUUAGGAAGCAUUAAGGACAAGGGGACUGAAGCAUGAUAAAACUUGCAUAUUUGUUGACAUAAUUCCUCCUGACAAUACGAUGCAGCCUCAGCCUCCUCCCAAAAAGCAAAAUAAGCUGAGAGCGCUGCUAUUUAGGAAGAAGUCCCUUGAUUCUGCAAAUAAACUAUCAAAUAAGCUUAAAUUGUUCGAAGAAGGCUCGGCAAUGCUUGCCGAAAGGUUACUGCUGUCUCCUUUGCAUGUGUAAAUGUUCAUUUUGUCACUGGAGAGGCUCAAUAAGUAUUGCUCCGAUUUUCUAAAUAUAGUCCUCAAUCUCUUAGUACUUCAGUUACAACUUAAAUUUGGGCAUUUAAUUAUUCACCAACUUUGUUUCCGUUUGUGCUUCAAUGUGUGAGAACUUUCUCACAUAUAUUUGGUUGCAUCUAUGUCAUAAUUUUUUAUGCAUUUUGCAGACUGGGUAAUGAAGAACCUGUGGUGCAAUCAACAUCUGGUCUUUUUACAUGUGCUGUAUGCCAAGUCGACCUUGUUCCGAGUGAGGGAAUCUCUGUUCAUGCUGGUUCCAUCUUCUCCACUAGCUCAAAACCCUAGCAAGGGCCUUUCCUCUGCGCUGAUUGCCGAAAUAAGAAGGAUG